UGUAAACGAGUAUGUGUAUAGUCUAGAGC
Molecule: small RNA, 29 nt
Filed under: Bombyx mori (domestic silkworm)
Lineage: Eukaryota; Metazoa; Arthropoda; Insecta; Lepidoptera; Bombycidae
Description: ovarian small RNA-35271
Source: RNAcentral